Ribosomal RNA from Nymphaea colorata (pocket water lily), 156 nucleotides. RefSeq annotates it as 5.8S ribosomal RNA. The transcript has a single exon. NCBI's taxonomy places the organism in Eukaryota, Viridiplantae, Streptophyta, Magnoliopsida, Nymphaeales, Nymphaeaceae. The record is from RefSeq and is a predicted model, not a curated record.
GACUCUCGGCAAUGGAUAUCUUGGCUCCCGCCACGAUGAAGAAUGUAACAAAAUGCGAUAGUUGAUGUAAAUUGCAGAAUCCCAUGAAUCGUGGAGUUUUUGAAAGCAAAUUGCACCCAAGGCCAUUUUGCCAAGGGCACGUCUGCCUGGUUGUCA